Nomascus leucogenys (northern white-cheeked gibbon) is the source of this 2093-nucleotide long non-coding RNA. RefSeq lists it as uncharacterized. The transcript is spliced from 4 exons. The record is from RefSeq and is a predicted model, not a curated record. NCBI's taxonomy places the organism in Eukaryota, Metazoa, Chordata, Mammalia, Primates, Hylobatidae.
UAUUGCGAACCGUGUUUCGGGAGCCUUAGAGAUGGAGACUAACGUCUUCCAAGGGAGAUCGCGGCUCCACUUUCACCCUGGUACUGAGACGUUGAGCGCAAAAUUGGUAACCAAUGCUGCGCUUCCAGCAAAUUUUCCCACCAGCACCCAAUCCUGGGAUCUUUAUUCUCUUUGUCUCACAUCCUACAGGAAUGCAGUCGCGGGGUAUAUCCCCCUGAGAAACCUUACUUUGCCGAAUAAUGAUUUUUUUGGAUUAGAGAACAACUCCCCUGGGUCCUGAGCUGGUAUUUCCCUUUUGCGGCUGCACAGUAGUUAAAAACAAAGCUAAAUGUUCUGGGACGUAUAGUUCUGGCGUUCCUUGGGUCCCGCUGGCGAGCGUGGGCUUUCUGCAGGGUGCAACCGGCCUCGUGUGCUUUUGCGGACGGUUCGCCGCGCUUGGAAAGGGAUUGGCCUGGAGUACAUCAUCUAAAGAUCCUAGGAUUGCUGCAGGUCAGCAGUCUCCACUGGAAAAAAAGAUAUUGCCUUUGAUUUGUUGGAGAAACUGUUACCAGAAAAACAGGUCCCGAUCCUGACCUCAAAAGAGUAUUCUUGGAUCUUGCACAGGAAGGAAUUAAAGCCUCAUUUGGCCACAGGCCCAGUGUGAACACCAGGGGGCGCCACAGACCAUGAAGGCGCCCACAGACCAUGAAGGCACCGUGCAGCUGGGAUUGUUUGUGGUCGGCUACUGGGUCCCUGACUUAACCAGGGGAGCCAAGACCUUGCAGCCAAGUGGCCUGGAUUCAACCUGCAGCUCUGGUCCUACCGACACUUCUCCCCCUGGUGCCUCAGUUUCUUAAUCUGUGAAAUGGUGAGGACAUUACAGCAUUUACCUCUGGGGCGGGUUUCUCAACAGCAGCACUAUUAACAAUUUGGGACAGAGAAUCUUGUGGAGUGUUCUGUCCUGUGCAUUGUGGGAGGUUUGCCAGCAGCGCCCCACUCACCCCCUUCCACCAAUCCCCAUGUGACAACCGAAAAUGUCCCAGGAUUUUUAGGUCUCCCUUGGGUCUGGAAGCUGCACUUAGGCAUUUUCCCACCUGACACUUGAGCUCAUCUCUGCUUUGGUCCACAUAAGGCCACUUUAAAAAAAUGUUGUUUCUUUAAAGACUCCAACCAUCUUUUAAACAAAUCCAUUUUCUUCCUCUAUUUCUGCAUUCAGUUAAUCCUUCCAAACCCUUUCUUUAGUAUAUCUUGAAAUGUAUCAAUUCCAGUUCUAGUAAUUAGCGUGUCUGACUUGCAUGAUAUCAGCUAUGACCCCUAGUAGAGCUCUGAUUCCUUUAGCACAGGGAAUGUGUUCUCGAUUCUGCUCUGGAUGAUGUAAAUCAAUUUAUUUUGCUUUACUUGUCUGGGAUGUUGCUCCUCAUCUGUAAGAUGUAAAUGUGUAUGUGGCUUGGAUUACUAAGUGGUUUUAUUUCUUCAUUCACCUGACAUUUGUUGUGUACCUGCUGCAAGUCAAAUACAUGGCAUGGUAUUGUUUCCUUGAUCACACCACAGCAAAUGAGAAAAUGAGACAUUAUAGCCAGGUGUGGCGGCACAGGCUUGUCGUCCUAGCUACUCAGAAGGCUGAGGCAGGAGAAUUGCUUCAGCCCAGGAGUUUGAGGUUACAGUGAGGUAUGAUACCACCAUUGCAUUUCAGCCUGGGCAACAGACCCUGUCUCUGAAAAAAGGGAAAAAGACCUUGUGAGCUGUCUCCAUGUACUCUAUGUCUCAGGAGACUCGUGUCCUGUAAUUUUUCUAAAUGGCAUCUCCAUGUGGUCUUUCAUGAAUGUUUGUCUGGUAUUUCUUCUCUAUCCUUUUACUUUCAACUUUUCUGUACCUUCUACUGAAAUUAUGGCUUUUGUAAACAGCCUAUGAUUAUUUAUUUACUUAUUUAUUUUUACCCCCCUGCACUAUUUGUCUUGUAAUUAGAGUGUCUGAGUCCAUUAUGUUUAAUGUAAUUAUUGACCUCACUGGGUUUAAGUCUGUACAUUGUCAUUUGCUGCCGUCUAAUAUCUCUUUCUUGCUCAACUAUUUUUCUUAUGUUACCUUCUUUAGAUGAAUAAAAAACUUUGCAUUAU